AUGGAAACUAGUACUAUUGUUCAGGAUUAUAGAGAAAUCUAUUCGGUGGGAGAUAUGGAUGAGGAAGAGAGAAAUCAGGGAAGGAGUCCCAUCUGUACAAUAAAGGAAAAUAGAGAGAUUAGUGGGAUUUUAUUUUGGAAUCUGCCCAUUUAUGAUCCUUUAAUUUUCGUUAAGUGUACAAUUUUCGUCCUAUUGGUGGCGAUUCUGGAAGAGGGGGUAUACUAUAUCAACUACAGAGGGGUGAGGGGUUUCCUCUUGAGUUUCUUCCUUGUACGAGUUGUAUUAGUGUGUAAGGAAGAGAUGGAGAUGGAUAGGAAGGGGGAGGCGGAGAUGGAGAUGGGUCAGGGAUCGGGGAGUGUGCCGGCGACCAUGGGGAGCGAUUCUCUUGCUCUGGCUACCUCACCUGGGGGCGAGAGGAUGAAGGAGUCCAGGCGGCCCUGUGGGGAUGACUCACCGUUGGUCAUCGAUAUGGAGGACGCCAGGAGGGCUGUGAGGGGUUUCUUGGUGGUAGGGCGACUUCUGUCGCCAUUCCAAGUUCACCCGCAGGUCCUUGUCGAUGACCUUCGUGCUUUGUCGGCUUGGAGGCUGAAAGGCGAGGUCACCGUCUAG
This 609-nucleotide ribosomal RNA is filed under the name Triticum aestivum (bread wheat). RNAcentral's name for it is "partial small subunit ribosomal RNA". The record is from RNAcentral. Lineage: Eukaryota; Viridiplantae; Streptophyta; Magnoliopsida; Poales; Poaceae.